RNAcentral lists this long non-coding RNA (1527 nucleotides) under Fukomys damarensis (Damara mole-rat). RNAcentral describes it as "lncRNA (ENSFDAG00000030209.1)". Lineage: Eukaryota; Metazoa; Chordata; Mammalia; Rodentia; Bathyergidae. The record is from RNAcentral.
AUGCACCUCUCUGCUUACACCUGGCUUGGCGAGUUGGAUGGCCUGCUCUUUUCUCUGUCCUCUGGAGAGUCCCAGCCUGUAGUGAGGAGUGAUGUUUGCCCCAUCUCCGGAGAGCCAGACACGGCAGACACAUGGAGUUUUGCUGAACAGCACUGCUAUGGCCAGAGACCCUUGCAGAUUAUCAGAACACCGUGUGUUUCUUUCCCGAGUCACUGCUCUUUGAUCCAAGUGAAGAAGUCCAGCUCUUCCCCUCACAAAGAGAGCUUUGGUGAGCAUGCACCUGCCUCUCCUUGGAGGAUGUGCAGAAAGGGUACUACUUAAAUCACCCUCAACUGCAAAAUAUGUAGCUAUUGAGAGAGCAGCUUUUACUGGAAGAUGGCGGAGUGGUGAGCAGCAGAGAGGACCUCUCUGUGGUCUGGUGUGCAGGAACCGGAAUAGAGCAACAUGAGGAUGAGAAGAAGGAGGGAAGUGGGUCCCCAGGACCCAGGAAGGAUCUGAAGCCCUUGGGAAGAAUGAAGAGAGAGUCUCCAGCAAAUAUGAAGGAGGUAACAGGCAGAACCUCCUACUGAGCUCAGACUCACUGAGGUGGGGAAGGGCAGCUCAGACUUGCAGAUGAACCAUGGCUACUGCUGACCCCAAAGACCUCCACAGAGAAACACACCAGUGGAGUGGAGCAGUGAACGCAAUGGACUGCAGUGGUUGGUGAGUUGUUGGGGUUUGGACUCAGGCUAGGGCAACUGGCCAUUAGCCAUCUUGGAGCGGGGCCAACUGAGCUCAGAACUGAGAACAGCUGUGGGUCAGCUCCAUUUAGUGGCUUUCAGGGUCAGUAGGAGUUCAAACCUGCAGGAGGUCAGGGAGCUUAGUUUGAGUCAGUGGGGGAUGCAUGGGGUGUUGGGGACUCCACAGGUCCAGUUCCAGCCUCACAGCCAGGAACCAGCCUGAACUUCAGUGGAACUAAAGGUGCAGGUUUGCUGGGAUUAUCCACUACCCCAAUGUAAUUACAGCUGGCUUGCUGGGAUUAACCCACUCAGAUCUGUACACUGCCUACACUGUCUACCAGUGACAGCAGAGACAGGCCUUGAAGUGGAUAUUGGUGUUUCUUCUUCUCUUUUCUUUUUUAAUUUCUCUUUUCUUAGUUUAGUGUUUGUUUCUUUUUCUUGAUUGUCCUUAUUUUUAUAGGACUUCAAACAUGGUUUCUAUGUUUUGUUGUUAUUUUGUUCUUGUUUUUAUCUCUUUCUUUUCUCUUUCCCUCCUGUCUUCUUCACCACUUUCCCAAAGUUAUCAUGAUAUUCCAUUGUCCUCUAGCUUUGCUUCCAAUCUCUUCCUUUUCCAUUUCUCCAUUUCCCCACCCUAACUUAUUUUAAAUAUCCUCUGAGGUAAAAGUGCUAUAAUGAGAGCAUAUUUACUACAAACAUUUUUCUGGUUUUAUUUUAGAUUUUUGUUAUAGAAUGACAAAUCUAAUUCAUACAGUUAAAGGUGACAAAUUAAUAGUUACCACAGUUUGUAAUGUUCUAGGCUGUGUUUGAG